This 325-nucleotide ribosomal RNA is filed under the name Philothermopsis sp. CO927. Its description in RNAcentral is "partial 12S ribosomal RNA". Lineage: Eukaryota; Metazoa; Arthropoda; Insecta; Coleoptera; Cerylonidae. The record is from RNAcentral.
AAUUAGUAUUAGUUAUGUUCUUGAAAAUUAAAAAUUUUGGCGGUAUUUUAGUCUUUUUAGAGGAACUUGUCCUAUAAUUGAUAUUCCACGAUAAUAAAAACUUUUUUUUUGAAUUUGUAUAUCGUUGUAGAUUUGAAUAUUUUAAAAGAAAAUUAAUAUUCGAAAUUUUAAAAUUAAAAAAAAAUCAGAUCARGANGCAGUUUAUAAAAAAGUAGAGAUGAGUUACAAUAAUAAAAUUUAUUUAUGGAUAAAUAGUUUUAAAUAAUUUUGAARGKGGAUUUAAAAGUAAUUUAUWUWUUUWUAGAAAAKGAUUUUAGCUCUAAAA